RNAcentral lists this long non-coding RNA (1278 nucleotides) under Homo sapiens (human). RNAcentral describes it as "HSALNT0066733". Lineage: Eukaryota; Metazoa; Chordata; Mammalia; Primates; Hominidae. The record is from RNAcentral.
CUGGUCUCUAUCUCCCGACCUCAAGUGGUCUGCCCACCUCAGCCUCUCAAAGUGCUGGGAUUACAGGCGUGAGCCACCACGCCCAGCCAGACCAUUCCUUUCUAAGGCACGAGUCAGGAUGGGCAUUUAUUGGAAAGGAUUUUCUUAUUCCAGUUAAUUUCCAGAUGCUGAAAUUUCAGGGACCAGGAAACCACUUUUGUCCUCUUUUCCCUGUGAAGUCUCAGGAUCUGUGAGCACAAAGCCUGGAGGUGCCGGCAGGGACCUUGUGAGUCACCAGAGGGAGAACCUCGCAUGGUUCAAAAUGUAAGGAGACAGAUGAAACACACACAGAAACAAACAAGAAGACAUCAGAGAGUGCUCUAAAGAAAAUUAGCUUGAGGCAGUGAUGCAGAGAGAGCUCAGUCAGGAAAGGCCUCCUGGAGGAGGCAACAUCUGAGCGGAGGUGGAGAUGCUCCGAGGAGCUGGCUGCAGAGACAUGAAGAGCAUCCCAGGCAGAGGGCACAGCACUGGCUCCAAGGUCUGAAGAGGGAGGAGAGAGAGAACCACGUCAGGUCCUGUGAGAUACUGUCCUUCACUUCUUCCGGGUGACAUCUGAGCACCUGCAGCCCUUCCCAUGCACAUCCAUUGUGGUUCAGAUGAAAACAGGAUGAAAUGUAACCUGGUCUGAUGACAUUAAUUUGCCUGAAGGAGCCCAGCACCCUGUCAUUUAGAGCUGCAUUUUCCUGGGGGCCUGGGCUGGGCCCCCUUUUAAGAUGAAGGCUGCUCCUCCACCCUCCUGACACUUGGUUGCUGGUUUUCCUCACACCUGCAGCCAGUCCACAGCUGGCCGCCUGCUGGCCUAGCUCCAGGCCGAUGGGGUGGCUGGACAGGCAGGGAGCUGCACGCAGCUUUGCAGUUCCAGCCUCAAGAGUGACGGCAGCCUCCCUAGGUACGGGCCACUGCCUGGCACUUUCCUCCCCUCCUGCCUCGGGUGGCUAGGGUGUGGAUUUUGGCCGGUGAACGCCACGCAUCAAACUCGUGUGUGGCAGCUGGGGGACCACCCAGCCCUAAGCAGUCGGCCCACCGCAUUUCAGGGUGGGUUGUUUUCUUGCUCGGACUUGUUUUUCCUGGCACUGCAAAGGUCACAUGCUUACUUCGUGGCAGUAAGUGUGAGGCGCCCCCGUGGGCUCUUAGCGAGGGUAAAGAGAUGCUUUUUUUUUUUUUUUUUGCAUACGCAGAAAGUUACGUGGGAACAGAACCAUGUAUAACCCAUUAAACUGCCUGUCCUGAUGGACGCCC